Molecule: ribosomal RNA, 368 nt
Filed under: Dendropsophus minutus (lesser treefrog)
Lineage: Eukaryota; Metazoa; Chordata; Amphibia; Anura; Hylidae
Description: partial 12S ribosomal RNA
Source: RNAcentral
UGAGAUCAGUUGUUACUUGAUAUACACAUGCAAGUCUCCGCACCCCUGUGAAAACGCCCUUAAAUCCCUCUAAGGGAUAAGGAGCUGGUAUCAGGCACAAAUUAGCCCAGGACACCUAGCUUCGCCACACCCACACGGGAAUUCAGCAGUGAUUAACAUUGAAACUAAGCGACAGCUUGAAUCAGUCAAAGUAAGAAGAGCCGGCAAAUCUGGUGCCAGCCGCCGCGGUUACACCAUGUGGCUCAGACUGAUCCCUUUCGGCGUAAAGCGUGAUUAAAGUUAUCUAUUUAUGCAAUUAAACUAAGAUUAAGCUGUAACACGCUUAUUAUUAAGAAACCCUAAAACGAAAGUUAUUGAUCCCAACAACU